RNAcentral lists this transfer RNA (65 nucleotides) under Tonna galea. RNAcentral describes it as "tRNA-Ser". It matches the Rfam family "tRNA". From Rfam's summary of the family: Transfer RNA (tRNA) molecules are approximately 80 nucleotides in length. Their secondary structure includes four short double-helical elements and three loops (D, anti-codon, and T loops). Lineage: Eukaryota; Metazoa; Mollusca; Gastropoda; Littorinimorpha; Tonnidae. The record is from RNAcentral.
AGUUACUUCCUGGGGACCGUUUGUCUUGAAAACAAACCUUGAGUGUUCAAUUCACUCAGUAACUU